RNAcentral lists this ribosomal RNA (110 nucleotides) under Periophthalmus magnuspinnatus. The record is from RNAcentral. Lineage: Eukaryota; Metazoa; Chordata; Actinopteri; Gobiiformes; Gobiidae.
UAUUACGGCCGUGCCACCCUGAGCAUGCCCAAUCUGGUCUGGAGCUAAGCAGGGUCGGGGAUGGGUAGCACUUGGAUGGGAGACCGCAGUGAAACCAGGAGCCACAGGGG